Molecule: unclassified non-coding RNA, 253 nt
Filed under: Hevea brasiliensis (rubber tree)
Lineage: Eukaryota; Viridiplantae; Streptophyta; Magnoliopsida; Malpighiales; Euphorbiaceae
Source: RNAcentral
UUGCUUUCAUUCACGUGGAAGAUAGUGUUGCAUCUGACGGUAAGGUUGUAAAGGAAUUUUAUUCGAAGCUUGUGAAAGCUGAUAUACAUGGAAAAGAUCAGGAGGUAUAUUCGAUCAAACUUCCUGGAGAACCAAAGCUAGGAGAAGGAAAACCUGAAAACCAAAACCAUGCUAUAGUUUUCACUCGUGGAGAUGCUGUUCAAACUAUUGACAUGAACCAGGACAACUAUCUUGAAGAGGCAUUGAAAGUGAG